Molecule: long non-coding RNA, 626 nt
Filed under: Gossypium barbadense (sea-island cotton)
Lineage: Eukaryota; Viridiplantae; Streptophyta; Magnoliopsida; Malvales; Malvaceae
Description: long non-coding RNA (GBAR_LNC016271)
Source: RNAcentral
GCUCAUCUAAGUAAUCACUAGUGCAAGAAAUCCAAUAAUUUCGUACAGGUCUUGUAAUUGCUUGAUUAAAAUUUUCGAGCUACCUCAACUUAAGAAAUUCGAUCCCAAAUUCAAAAUUUUCAAUACCAAUAAAAAUCAACUUAUUACAUCACCACUUGCAAAUAAUACAUUUUCCUUUCUGAUAAGCUUGCAACCUCCAACAGGAUCAAAACCAGGAGGCAGAUUUCCACUUGGGAUUGACUCUAUCUGCAGAAUAGAAAAGUUCCAUGGAUUGUGAUGCGCAAGUCCAGUAUUACAAUUGAAAAAAUAAGGUAAAAUUGAAAAAACAUGAAGCUGAAGAUCUGUUGUUAAUUUUGAUGCACAAGUCCAGUAUUACAAUUUCAGGCAUCAUAAAAUGUUUUGUAAAACUAUCCAGGCACUCACACAUUUGGUAGCACAUAAAGCAUAAGAAAGGAAACUCUAUGAGAGGUUAACAUAAAGCAUGCUUCACUCAGUAAUACCAUAUAUACGAUGUCAUAAUAGGCAAAUCAUACAUGAUAUAUUUGUCACUAGAUCUUACAGAAGUGAAACUAACAUGCUAAAGCUGCCCAUCGAUUGAUCCAAGCCCAAAUUUACACCUAAUUUCU